GAUGAACGCUAGCGAUAGGCUUAACACAUGCAAGUCGAGGGGUAACGCGUUGGAAGCUUGCUUCCGAUGACGACGACCGGCGGAUGGGUGCGUAACGCGUAUGCAACUUGCCUCACAGUGGAGAAUAACCCGGAGAAAUCCGGACUAAUACUCCAUACACUCUUAAGUACGCCUGUAAAUGAGAGGAAAGAUUUAUCGCUGUGAGAUAGGCAUGCGUCCUAUUAGGUAGUUGGUGAGGUAACGGCUCACCAAGCCGACGAUAGGUAGGGGUGCUGAGAGGCAGAUCCCCCACAUUGGGACUGAGACACGGGCCAAACUCCUACGGGAGGCAGCAGUGAGGAAUAGUGGUCAAUGGAGGAAACUCGGAACCAGCCAAGUCGCGUGAAGGAAGAAUGGCGUAAGGAUUGUAAACUUCUUUAGCGAGCGAGUAAGGACUUCCACGUGAUGGGAGUUUGAAAGUAGCUCGAGAAUAAGUAUCGGCUAACUCCGUG
This 491-nucleotide ribosomal RNA is filed under the name uncultured bacterium. Its description in RNAcentral is "partial 16S ribosomal RNA". It matches the Rfam family "Bacterial small subunit ribosomal RNA", at positions 28 to 507 of the family's 1533-position model. The record is from RNAcentral.